GCUCGGGGGGUGCUCUGGAAAGCCCCGCUGUUAUUAAUAAGUCACAUUUAACCUCCUCUUGUUCUCAGAACACCCUCCACUCUGGGCGGAAGGGAACAAGCCUCACCAGCCACCUGGGGGCAAAGGGGAUCUCUCAACCGCUUCCCCGGGGGCCGAGGCAAUAAUAGCCCCUUAAAUAUGCACUUCCUCCAACGGGUCAUGACACUCGCUUCACUGUGAUUGCAGCAGAGGAUAUGGGGUGACAUCAGCCUGGAAGAUUCUCAGCUGGUCCGGGACUGAGGGUGAGGCCAACGAGACCUUCAGCUAAGCUACGAAAUUUAAGGGGACACCACAAGAACCCAGUAAGCAAGAUAAAUAAUCUUUAAUGCAAAAUUUGUAAGAAUCAAACUUAAUGCAAAAACAAUCUGAGAUGAACAAAGUCUCAACACUUUAAAUAAACACGUGAUCUAAAGUCCA
Molecule: long non-coding RNA, 456 nt
Filed under: Felis catus (domestic cat)
Lineage: Eukaryota; Metazoa; Chordata; Mammalia; Carnivora; Felidae
Description: lncRNA (ENSFCAG00000051027.1)
Source: RNAcentral